CCCAGCUUCAUUUUGUCAGAGUUUGACACAAGUGACUCCAUUUUGAAUCUGACAGCUUUCACAACAAGACAGUAGAAACUGUGAUAUUUAUUACCACUCAGAACAUAAAUUACAAGAUAAGCUGAUGAAGUACAGUGUAUGUAGAAUGUUAAACUCUAAAUUUCCAUUUGUUGGAUUACACAAUAAAGUUCUUAAUAGAGAAGGGACCACACUCUCUGAGAAAAUAUGAAGCCAUGGAAAAACAUAAUGGAACUGUCCUCUAUUCCCUCAUUAUAGUUCCAGGCCAUAAGUACCUGGGAAAAAAAUUACAAAGAUUUUUCAUAAAGGCAAAGAUUCCAGAUGUUUAAAGACUUUGCGUGUGUGCGCGUGUGUGUGUAUUUUUUUUUUUUUUUUUUUUUUUGAGACGGAGUCUUGCUCUGCAUCCCAGGCUGGAAUGCAAUGCUGCGAUCUUGGCUCACUGCAACCUCCAUCUCCCAGGUUCAAGCGAUUCUUCUGCUUCAGCCUUCCAAGUAG
This 513-nucleotide long non-coding RNA is filed under the name Homo sapiens (human). Its description in RNAcentral is "HSALNT0057936". The record is from RNAcentral. Lineage: Eukaryota; Metazoa; Chordata; Mammalia; Primates; Hominidae.